Molecule: transfer RNA, 57 nt
Filed under: Listeria monocytogenes
Lineage: Bacteria; Bacillati; Bacillota; Bacilli; Caryophanales; Listeriaceae
Description: tRNA-Pro
Rfam family: tRNA
About the family: Transfer RNA (tRNA) molecules are approximately 80 nucleotides in length. Their secondary structure includes four short double-helical elements and three loops (D, anti-codon, and T loops).
Source: RNAcentral
UAGCUCAGCUUGGUAGAGCACUUGGUUUGGGACCAAGGGGUCGCAGGUUCGAAUCCU